AUUGAACGCUGGCGGCAUGCCUUACACAUGCAAGUCGAACGGCAGCACGGGAGCAAUCCUGGUGGCGAGUGGCGAACGGGUGAGUAAUAUAUCGGAACGUGCCCGGUCGUGGGGGAUAACGUAGCGAAAGCUACGCUAAUACCGCAUACGAUCUACGGAUGAAAGCGGGGGAUCGCAAGACCUCGCGCGAUUGGAGCGGCCGAUAUCAGAUUAGGUAGUUGGUGAGGUAAAGGCUCACCAAGCCGACGAUCUGUAGCUGGUCUGAGAGGACGACCAGCCACACUGGGACUGAGACACGGCCCAGACUCCUACGGGAGGCAGCAGUGGGGAAUUUUGGACAAUGGGCGGCAAGCCUCGAUCCAGCAAU
This 367-nucleotide ribosomal RNA is filed under the name uncultured bacterium. RNAcentral's name for it is "bacterial SSU rRNA". It matches the Rfam family "Bacterial small subunit ribosomal RNA", at positions 30 to 395 of the family's 1533-position model. The record is from RNAcentral.